GGGCCCGCACAAGCGGUGGAGUAUGUGGUUUAAUUCGAUGCAACGCGAAGAACCUUACCAGGGUUUGACAUCCUGCGAAUUUCUGGGAAACCGGAAAGUGCCUUCGGGAGCGCAGUGACAGGUGGUGCAUGGCUGUCGUCAGCUCGUGUCGUGAGAUGUUGGGUUAAGUCCCGCAACGAGCGCAACCCACGUCUUUAGUUGCCAGCAUUUAGUUGGGCACUCUAGAGAGACCGCCGGUGAUAAACCCGGAGGAAGGUGGGGACGACGUCAAGUCAUCAUGCCCCUUAUGUCCAGGGCUGCACGCAUGCUACAAUGGCAAGUACAGAGGGCUGCGAACCCGCGAGGGCAAGCGAA
This 354-nucleotide ribosomal RNA is filed under the name uncultured bacterium. Its description in RNAcentral is "bacterial SSU rRNA". It matches the Rfam family "Bacterial small subunit ribosomal RNA", at positions 917 to 1271 of the family's 1533-position model. The record is from RNAcentral.